This 1413-nucleotide long non-coding RNA is filed under the name Anas platyrhynchos platyrhynchos (common mallard). Its description in RNAcentral is "lncRNA (ENSAPLG00000016468.1)". Lineage: Eukaryota; Metazoa; Chordata; Aves; Anseriformes; Anatidae. The record is from RNAcentral.
CAAAUAAACCAGCAAAGUUAAGCAGGCUGGAGCUAAUGAGAGGCCACUGGAAAGCAGUAUGUGAAUAAUGUAAAUGUCUUACUAUGAUAAGAUGCUGUAUUUUCAUUAGGUUGGAACAGCAUUGACAGGGCAGCUGAAGAGCCCUUUGGCAAUAUGAAGGCUAAUUACUUGCCAUGAAGAAACGAAAACUUGUCAAGCGGGAGCUCUGUCAUUGCUCAGUUCAAUAAAUCAAGGCAAUAAAUCAUAUCCAUCAGAGUCUCUCUGCCUUUUUAGGGUAUCUGUAAUGCGUGGGGGAGUGGAGAAGCCAAACACUGGAAACAGUAUCAUCUUAAAGAAGGGCUGAUUAUGUGUAGCUGAUGAAAAAUUAUUUCCACACUUUUUUUUUUUAAUAAUGCAGGUGCACUGAGUAAGGUGGAGAAUGGUAAAGAUGGUGCAUCUGUAGAUGAAUACAGAGGGAGAAUGAACAGGCAAUGGAACAUGUUUAUUGUUUACUUAGGUGCUUGGGAUAAGAACUUAAAAUAUCCUGUUUUGGAUUCCUUGCUGCACAGCAUCCAGAUUAGCUGAUUAAGGGUGUUUUCAGUUGGUUAAAUAGCUCCUCAGGGCAAACCAGUUCUCAAGGGGCAGUGGUGUCUCCUGAUUGCCUUCUAGAUUAGGGGACCAUAGAAUAUUACACUCCACUGGGCAUUAUUCCAGCUCUGCUGCCAACCUUCCUGACCUUGGGAGAGCACUGUAACCACUGGAGGUACCCUUCCUCUUAGCCUCUUAGCCUCUCCUACUGAAGCCAUGUCAGUGUGCAGUGGAGAAUUUGGCAGUGCUGGUGUGGCAAGGAAAACUCAUCCUGGAUCACCAUGGACUCACGAAACUCUGCUGUAUGAUGAUACAAGACAUUGCCUGGUGAUCAUGGGACUAAGACCGACUCUCAUCCUGCCUCUGGGCCUGAUCCUGACCUACACUGUCUGCUCAGCAUCUUGCCCUCAGCUCGGUGAGGUCCCUGAGCCCUCCUGCCCUGCUGUCACUUGGCUCCUGCUCACCUUCCCUUAUUGCGGCAGCCAGCCAUUGAUGCUCCCUGGCACAAACACAACUACCACAGCUUGAGGAGCACUUCCGUAGCAUACCUCAGCACUUCAGCACAGUGGCUUGGAUUCCCGCUUUGAGGUGGGUGUGUAGGCUGCUCUCCACCAUUGCUUCUUUGAUGGCAGAACCUUCUUCUAAUAGAAAUAUAAAAACAGCUUUCCAAAAUAAUUUCCCAGUCAUUUCUAGGUAGUCAAAGAGAUAAAAGACAGACACUGAGUUUCAUACACUGUCAGUAAAAGCCACUCCUCCCUAGUGCAAAGGCCAAGCAGAAGACAGCAGUAAACAUAUGGCUGUGUCACAAGCUGGCUCUUACCAGCAGAAUGCCAAGUGAACUUUCUG